Molecule: non-coding RNA, 115 nt
Organism: Gossypium raimondii (Peruvian cotton)
Lineage: Eukaryota; Viridiplantae; Streptophyta; Magnoliopsida; Malvales; Malvaceae
Source: Rfam
UAUUAAAAUUUCCAUCUAUAUCUAUUGUUAAAAACUGGUUUAGGUAGGUGGAACUGUCUAAUUAUUCCGUUAGCGAGCUAGUUUUUAAAAGUAGAAAUGGAUGAAAUUUUUAAUA